This 390-nucleotide ribosomal RNA is filed under the name Triticum aestivum (bread wheat). Its description in RNAcentral is "partial small subunit ribosomal RNA". The record is from RNAcentral. Lineage: Eukaryota; Viridiplantae; Streptophyta; Magnoliopsida; Poales; Poaceae.
AUGUACACUCUCCAUGUUUUCUCAUCUGACAAGGCAAGCUGGAGCGUGCGGAGCAACUGCUUCAACACAAAUGCGCAAUCGCAUCGGUAUGGGUCAUUUAGCGAUGCCAUUGUGUGCCGCGGCGUGGCACAUUGGGUGUUUUAUUAUUACGAAUGCUUUCACAUCAUUAAUAUGAACGGAAGGACUGGCCACAUCUCCUGGACGAAGCUCCAUUCUGGAGCAGGCUUCCACUACUUGAGUCAACCAUGCCUUACUCUAGCCGUCAAUGGGACGCUAUCAUUGCUCUGGAUGCGAAAGAGAGAUUCCCGACUAGAGAUAUGGGAACAACACGAGGACCAUGCAAACAUGGGAGUGCUUCAAAGUGGUUACCUAGUCGGACAAUCAAGCUAA